RNAcentral lists this ribosomal RNA (521 nucleotides) under uncultured bacterium. RNAcentral's name for it is "bacterial SSU rRNA". It matches the Rfam family "Bacterial small subunit ribosomal RNA", at positions 959 to 1499 of the family's 1533-position model. The record is from RNAcentral.
ACGCAAAGAACCUUUCCAGGGCUUACAUUCCGCGAACCCUGCGGAAACGUGGGGGUGCUUCGGGAGCGCGGACACAGGGUGGUGCAUGGCUGUCGUCAGCUCUUUGUCGUGAGAUGUUGGGUUAAGUCCCGCAACGAGCGCAACCCUUGUCCCUAGUUGCCAGCAUUGAGUUGGGCACUCUAGGGAGACUGCCGGUGACAAACCGGAGGAAGGUGAGGAUGACGUCAAGUCAGCAUGCCCCUUACGCCCUGGGCUACACACGUGCUACAAUGGCGCGGACAAAGGGUCCGAGCGCGCGAGCGUGAGCCAAUCCCAAAAACCGCGUCUCAGUUCAGAUCGCAGGCUGCAACUCGCCUGCGUGAAGGCGGAAUCGCUAGUAAUCGCAGAUCAGCAUGCUGCGGUGAAUACGUUCCCGGGCCUUGUACACACCGCCCGUCACACCAUGGGAGCUGGCCAUGCCCGAAGUCGGAGCACCCGCCGAAGGCAGGGCUGGUGACUGGGGUGAAGUCGUAACAAGGUAA